This 254-nucleotide ribosomal RNA is filed under the name uncultured bacterium. RNAcentral describes it as "partial 16S ribosomal RNA". It matches the Rfam family "Bacterial small subunit ribosomal RNA", at positions 524 to 776 of the family's 1533-position model. The record is from RNAcentral.
CACGUAGGGGGCGAGCGUUGUCCGGAUUUAUUGGGCGUAAAGAGCUCGUAGGUGGCUCGGUAAGUCGGGUGUGAAAACUCGGGGCUCAACCCCGAGACGCCACUCGAUACUGCUGUGGCUUGAGUCCGGAAGAGGAGAGUGGAAUUCCCGGUGUAGCGGUGAAAUGCGCAGAUAUCGGGAAGAACACCCGUGGCGAAGGCGGCUCUCUGGGACGGUACUGACGCUGAGACGCGAAAGCGUGGGGAGCGAACAGG